GAUGAACGCUGGCGGCGUGCCUAAUACAUGCAAGUCGAGCGAACGGACGAGAAGCUUGCUUCUCUGAUGUUAGCGGCGGACGGGUGAGUAACACGUGGAUAACCUACCUAUAAGACUGGGAUAACUUCGGGAAACCGGAGCUAAUACCGGAUAAUAUUUUGAACCGCAUGGUUCAAAAGUGAAAGACGGUCUUGCUGUCACUUAUAGAUGGAUCCGCGCUGCAUUAGCUAGUUGGUAAGGUAACGGCUUACCAAGGCAACGAUGCAUAGCCGACCUGAGAGGGUGAUCGGCCACACUGGAACUGAGCCACGGUCCAGACUCCUACGGUAGGCAGCAGUAGGGAAUCUUCCGCAAUGGGCGAAAGCCUGACGGAGCAACGCCGCGUGAGUGAUGAAGGUCUUCGGAUCGUAAAACUCUGUUAUUAGGGAAGAACAUAUGUGUAAGUAACUGUGCACAUCUUGACGGUACCUAAUCAGAAAGCCACGGCUAACUACGUG
Molecule: ribosomal RNA, 497 nt
Filed under: uncultured bacterium
Lineage: Bacteria
Description: partial 16S ribosomal RNA
Rfam family: Bacterial small subunit ribosomal RNA
Source: RNAcentral